UGUUUUUCAGCAUAAAGUACUCUGCAGCCACUUAGUGUGGUGUGGACACCAGGUUAUAUCAGCUGUGUCGGUGAACCCCUCCCGCAUCUGAACUGGCUACAUAGAGGUCACUUGGUCAGGUCAACAAGAAGUAUUGGAAGAAUACUCUUAAAAUAUAUGUUUUGAUGUGAGAGAAUGCCAACUCCCAGUCCCAUCAUCGCCACCUCACCCGCUC
Salmo salar (Atlantic salmon) is the source of this 214-nucleotide non-coding RNA. Lineage: Eukaryota; Metazoa; Chordata; Actinopteri; Salmoniformes; Salmonidae. The record is from RefSeq and is a predicted model, not a curated record.